AUUGAACGCUGGCGGAAUGCUUUACACAUGCCAGUCGAGCGGCAGCACGGGGGUAACCCUGGUGGCGAGCGGCGAACGGGUGAGUAAUACAUCGGAACAUGCCCAGUCGUGGGGGAUAACACUUCGAAAGAAGUGCUAAUACCGCAUACGUCCUGAGGGGGAAAGCGGGGGAUCGCAAGACCUCGCGCGAUUGGAGUGGCCGAUGUCAGAUUAGCUAGUUGGUGGGGUAAAGGCCUACCAAGGCAACGAUCUGUAGCUGGUCUGAGAGGAUGAUCAGCCACACUGGGACUGAGACACGGCCCAGACUCCUACGGGAGGCAGCAGUGGGGAAUUUUGGACAAUGGGGGCAACCCUGAUCCAGCCAUUCCGCGUGAGUGAAGAAGGCCUUCGGGUUGUAAAGCUCUUUCGGCAGGAACGAAACGGUGAGCUCUAACAUAGCUUGCUAAUGACGGUACCUGAAGAAGAAGCACCGGCUAACUACGUG
RNAcentral lists this ribosomal RNA (484 nucleotides) under uncultured bacterium. RNAcentral's name for it is "partial 16S ribosomal RNA". It matches the Rfam family "Bacterial small subunit ribosomal RNA", at positions 30 to 507 of the family's 1533-position model. The record is from RNAcentral.